Molecule: ribosomal RNA, 492 nt
Filed under: uncultured bacterium
Lineage: Bacteria
Description: partial 16S ribosomal RNA
Rfam family: Bacterial small subunit ribosomal RNA
Source: RNAcentral
AGUGAACGCUGGCGGUAGGCCUAACACAUGCAAGUCGAACGGCAGCACAGUAAGAGCUUGCUCUUACGGGUGGCGAGUGGCGGACGGGUGAGGAAUACAUCGGAAUCUACUUUUUCGUGGGGGAUAACGUAGGGAAACUUACGCUAAUACCGCAUACGACCUACGGGUGAAAGCAGGGGAUCUUCGGACCUUGCGCGAUUGAAUGAGCCGAUGUCGGAUUAGCUGGUUGGCGGGGUAAAGGCCCACCAAGGCGACGAUCCGUAGCUGGUCUGAGAGGAUGAUCGGCCACACUGGAACUGAGACACGGUCCAGACGCCUACGGGAGGCAGCAGUGGGGAAUAUUGGACAAUGGGCGCAAGCCUGAUCCAGCCAUACCGCGUGGGUGAAGAAGGCCUUCGGGUUGUAAAGCCCUUUUGUUGGGAAAGAAAAGCAGCAGGUUAAUACCCCGCUGUUCUGACGGUACCCAAAGAAUAAGCACCGGCUAACUUCGUG